This 338-nucleotide unclassified non-coding RNA is filed under the name soil metagenome. RNAcentral's name for it is "partial contains 5.8S ribosomal RNA, internal transcribed spacer 2, and large subunit ribosomal RNA". The stretch from base 1 to 120 matches the Rfam family "5.8S ribosomal RNA", at positions 35 to 154 of the family's 154-position model. The record is from RNAcentral.
GAUGAAGAACGCAGCGAAAUGCGAUAAGUAGUGUGAAUUGCAGAAUUCAGUGAAUCAUCGAAUCUUUGAACGCACAUUGCGCCCCUUGGUAUUCCAUGGGGCAUGCCUGUUCGAGCGUCAUUUGUACCUUCAAGCUUUGCUUGGUGUUGGGUGUUUGUCCUCCCCUUUUGUGUUUGGACUCGCCUUAAAACAAUUGGCAGCCAGUGUUUUGGUAUAGAAGCGCAGCACAAGUCGCGAUUCUAGCUAAGUAACGCUGACAUCCAGAAGUCUUUUUUAACUUUUGACCUCGGAUCAGGUAGGGAUACCCGCUGAACUUAAGCAUAUCAAUAAGCGGAGGA